AUGGAGGUGACGGCCAUCAGCAUUGGCAAGUCCGUGUUGAGCGGGGCGCUCAACUAUGCCCAGUCUGCCGUUGCCAAGGAGGUGUCUCUGCAGCUUGGUGUCCAGCGUGACCACUCCUUCAUCAGGGCCGAGCUCGAGAUGAUGCAGUCAUUCCUGAUGGCUGCACACGAUGAGCGAGACGACAAUAAGGUGGUCAAGACUUGGGUGAAACAAGUCUGCGAUGUGUCCUACUCCGUCGAGGACUGCCUCCUGGAUUUUGCUGUCCGUCUUGAGAGGCAAUCUUGGUGGUGUCUCUCUCGGAAGGUGCUAGCCCGCCGUUAUGUGGCGAACCAGAUGAAGGACCUCAGAGCUGAGGUGGAGGAGGUCAGACAGAGGAACCAACGUUACCACCUCAUCAAGGGCUCUAGCUCCAAGUCUACCUCCGCUAUUGGGCAGCCUAUCAUCUCCGGUGCGACAAUGUCUGCCGCCAAUGAGGCAAGGCUACCACGGCAGAAAGCAAAAAUGGAUCUCCUCAUGUUGAUUGAUUGCAAGGAUGUGGCACUUAGGGUGAUAGCAUUGUGGGGCACAAGUAGUACUGAUCUGGGGGAGAUGUCCAUCAUGAAAAGUAUAUAUGAAGAUCCCAUGAUACACAAGAAUUUUGAUUGCUAUGCUUGGAUCACAUUGAUGUGUCCUUUCAAUCAGACAGAUUUCAUUCAAAGCAUUAUUAGGCAAAUUUAUGUUAAUUCUCUUCAAGAGACAGGAGAAGAAGGAAAAUCAGCUAUUGGGGCCCAAGUUUUGAAGAUGAUGGUGACAUUGAAAGAAGAUGGUUUGGCUCAUGAGUUCAAGAGAUAUUUGAAUUUCAAGAGUUACCUAAUUGUACUCAAUGGCAUAAGCACCAUUGAAGAGUGGGAUUGCAUUAAAACAUGUUUCCCAAACAACAAGAAAGGAAGUCGAAUCAUAGUAUCUACUGAGCAAAUUGAAGUUGUGAGCUUAUGCAUAGGAGCAGAGGAUGAAGCUCUAAUGCAUAAGAAGUUACUCGCUGAUCAGUCUCUUUAUGCUUUCUACAAGAAGGUAUCUCAGGAGGGAAGGGAUUCAGCGGAAAAAGGGUCCAUCUCAUGCAUAGUCCCUACCGCUGUUGAAAACUCUACACACAAGAACAUCCUCACCCGGACGGAGACAAUGGCUACUCUAGAGGAAUCUCGUCUCAUUGGGAGAGGGAAUCAAAAAGAGGAAAUCAUCAAUCUAAUCUCGAAUAAAGAUCUCAACCAUUUUCAUGUGUUCUCCUUGUGGGGAAUGGGUGGUAUUGGGAAAACAACACUAGUGACAGAUAUUUAUCAAACCCAAGAGAUUAGUAGCAUGUUUGAUAAGCGUGCUUGUGUCACGGUCAUGCGUCCUUUCAAUCCAGCAACACUCAUUGGGAGCUUAGCUAUGCAAUUUGGAGGUAAAAAUGGGACAGAUUUAAGGAGAUGCUUAGAAGAAAGGAGAUGUUUGCUUGUUCUUGAUGAUUUGUGGUCCAUAGAAGAGUGGAAUGCUAUAAAACAAUAUUUGCCAGAAACGGCAGCAAGUUGCAUAAUAGUCACCACAAGGGAAGAGAAUAUAGCGAAGCACUGCUCCAAGGAUGAAAGAAAUAUAUACAAGCUCAACCAUUUGGAUCAUGUUGAUGCAUGUACCCUCUUCACCAAAAAGGUAUUUAAGGAGAUCGUAAAUUUGGAUGAGCAAUAUCCAGAGUUGGUUGAACAAGCAAAACUGAUAUUGAAGAAGUGCAGAGGACUUCCCCUUGCACUAGUCACCAUAGGUGGAUUCCUGGCAAACCAACCAAAAACUGCUGUCGAAUGGAGAAAAAUGAAUGACCAUAUCAGUGCUGAGUUGGAGAUGAAUCCAGAACUUGAGAUCAUAAAAGCAAUCCUUAUGAAAAGCUAUGAUGGUUUACCCUAUUACCUCAAGGCUUGUUUCUUGUAUCUGGCCAUCUUUCCUGAAGACCAGCAGAUUGCACGGAGACGCUUAGUUCGUCGGUGGAUUGCAGAGGGUUACUCAAGUAAGGUGCGUGGCAAGUCUGUGGAGGAAGUAUUGGACUCUUACUUCAUGGAACUCAUAAGCAGGAGCAUGAUCUUACCAUCUCAACAGUCAAUUCAUAGUAGGAAAGGAAUUGACUCCUGCCAUGUGCAUGAUCUCAUUCGUGAAAUUGCCAUCUCAAAGUCUAUGGAGGAAAAUCUUGUUUUCACAUUGGAGGAAGGGUGCAGUUUGAACAACCAAGGCAUAGUGCGUCAUCUUGCUGUAAGCAGCAACUGGAAAGGGGAUCAGUGUGAGUUUGAGAAUUUGGUAGACUUGUCCCGUAUACGAUCAUUGACUGUAUUUGGAAAUUGGAGGCCAUUUUACAUUUCUGAUAAGAUGAGGUUGCUCCGAGUGCUGGAUUUGGAAGGCCAGUGGGAUCUAGUUGAUCAUCAUCUUGAGCACAUUGGGAAGCUUGUACAUCUUAGAUAUCUUUCUCUAAGGGGACAUUAUAAUAUAUUUCACCUGCCAAAUUCAUUGGGGAACCUGAGACAACUCCAGACACUAGAUAUUUCAGGUACCAGCAUAAUGAAGCUACCAAGGACCAUCAUCAAGAUUGAGAAGAUGCAACGCAUUCUUGCUAGUGGUGUAGGACAGUAUCAUUUUGAUAUAUAUCAACGUGCAAAUAAGUGGUCCCUAAAGAGUUUACCUUUAUAUUCAGUGCGUUGUUGUGUGGCAUGUUGUGCACCUAAUAGGCUGGGAAGGCAAUUUAAACUUAACGAUGGUGCACUUAACAGGCGUGAUGUAUGCACUGCGUUCUGUUGUAGCAUAUUACCUUAUUAUGUGGCAGGAGGACGAAAUCCAGGUACUGUUGAAGUGCCAAGUGGGAUUUGGAAACUGAAGACCCUGCAUACACUUGGUACCGUGGACAUAUCAGUGGGGAGGACUGUUCUCCAAGAUAUAAAAAGGCUGACCCGGUUACGCAAGUUAGGAUUGGCAGGCAUCAACAAGAGAAACAGUCAAGAGUUGUGUUCAGCAAUUGCUUGUCUCAACAGCCUGGAGUCAUUGUCACUGCAAUCACAUGGAGAGACAGGUUUAUCAGGCUGCUUGGAUGGCAUGUCGUCACCUCCAGAAAACCUGCAGAGCCUCAAGUUAUACGGCAACCUGGAUAAACUGCCGGAGUGGAUCCAGGGGCUCAAAAAUCUGGUGAAGCUGAAGCUAGAGUGGUUGAGUAUAUCGGAGCAUGAUGUGGCCAUGCAAGUCCUUGGGAAUCUACCAAACCUGGCCACCCUACGUCUAUUGGGUUGCUCGUUCAGUGGUGAAGAGGUUCGUUUCAGUUUAUGUGGGGAUGCAUUCCCGACACUGAAGGUGCUAGAGCUGAAUUGCGUAAGGAACCUCAAGUCGGUGGAAUUUGAAGAAGGAGCAGCCCCUAAGCUUGAGUUGCUGCAGUAUUCUAAACUGAGCAGUGACAGUGUUAGGUUGUUCUGUGGGUUACCACUUCUCCCAAGCCUCAAGGAAUUUAUGCUUGAUUGGAGGGACUGGCAUGAUACAGAGUUGGGGGAGUACUUGCGUGGCCAGCUCGCAGAGAAUGAAAACCGGCCCGUUUUGAAGAUGUGGGAUCCGAAAUCCUAG
RNAcentral lists this ribosomal RNA (3600 nucleotides) under Triticum aestivum (bread wheat). Its description in RNAcentral is "partial small subunit ribosomal RNA". Lineage: Eukaryota; Viridiplantae; Streptophyta; Magnoliopsida; Poales; Poaceae. The record is from RNAcentral.